Long non-coding RNA from Patella vulgata (common limpet), 382 nucleotides. RefSeq lists it as uncharacterized. The transcript has 3 exons. NCBI's taxonomy places the organism in Eukaryota, Metazoa, Mollusca, Gastropoda, Patellidae. The record is from RefSeq and is a predicted model, not a curated record.
CAAGAAAGAGCCAUGCCAAGUGCUGGCGUGGUCCCGUUUUUACAGACAUUUGUUUGUAAUUUGGACAAUAAAUGUAAUGAUGAAGAUCAACUGAGAUCAGCCCAAGAAGUCUCAUAUAAGGUUUCGUCACUGGUGGGUAAAUUGGCGCCAUAUAUCGGUUCCGAUGACACAGUGUCAGCGUUAGAAUCCAUGGAUAAUGGAGUUAAAAUUCUUGAUACUCUGAAUAAAUUUCUGGUAAAUAAUUCCAUCAUAGAUGAACUUGAAAAGUCGUUGAAAGUUGGGAAUUUAUUUAAAGAUGAAGAUAGAGUUAAACAGAUACUGAUAACUGAGUAUGGUGUAGCAUCAGAGACGGUGGUUGAUGCUAUCCUCAACUCCACUCUUA